UCAAUUCCCAAAAUUUCAGAUGCUGAAGUUGGUAAUGGUAUCGCUUGCUGGACUGGUGCAGUGUUCUUAGACAAAGUGCAGAGUGCACUUAGAGUAACCACAUAAAUUAUUGUGCGUUUCUCGAAUGAAGUUUAAACUCACAAGACAAAUAUUUUCUGGUUGAUGUAAUGUGGAAGUAUGCAGUCAUCAUGUUUUUAGUUUUAUCUAUUUUACCCCAUUUGAACUUUCCUAUGCCUUGGAAUAUGUCUUGUUUCUAAUCGGCGUAAUCCCAACUGUCUGAAUUAACAAAAGUUUGAAACUUUAUGAUUUUCUUCAUCAGCAUUAGUUUCCUUAUUAUAGGAUUGGUGUAUAGAAGAAUAUCCAUACAACACAUGAGUUUAUUUUUUCUUUUGAAAGAUAUUAGUUGUCUUACACUUUCUUUGUUCUUUUGGAAGAUAUUAGUUGUCUUACACUGUAUGGAUUCUUGAGGUGUCAACUAGAUGUGUGUAUACAGGAGUUGAUAAUUUAUUUCUUCUAUUCUUGCUACGAGAAUUGAACGCAACUUAUCUGGAGUUUUGUUUCGCACAAAAGAAGUCUCAUCUAGACACCAUUAGCUAUUAGUCUGGCAACUGACUAUCAUGUAUGUUCUCUGAAUCUCGUUUACUUAUCCAUGUUCUUGUUUCCCUCCUUCUGUAUUGCAAUAAGCGGCUUGUUUUAAUUUGUUUCAAAAACAUCCGUCAUUUAACAAUCUGAUUAGUCUUCUAUUUAUUCCUCCAACUCACUCUGUCUAGACAAUAACUCGUGCUUUAUUUUCUAUGCUUGUUUGAAAAACAUAGCUGGAAAAUCAAUGAUUUUGCUGCCAUGUCUGGAGAUAAUUGCUCUUUUGUGUCGUUCGACCUGUUUUCUUCCACCUGUUGAGGUCGUGCCCAGUGGGGAGGCACACUGGCGCUCGUCAUUUGUGUCGCUGUGUGAAGUGCUCUUGUUAUGCAUGGUGGGUGUAGGGAGCUACUUCCUGUUGGAAUUACGGCGCAUGCGCUUGUAUGGCUGGUCGAUAGUGGAGAUGGCACAUUGGCGAGCCCCGACGAGAUGCUGCUCUCUGUAUGGGCCAUCACUUAAUUCUGCAACUUUCUAUUGAUGCCAUUGUCCGCCAUGGCUUGCUUCCUGUACUCUGCUCCCCACUUGUUACAACUGAGUGCCAUAAUGUAGUAAAUGGGAACGUAACAUAAUAACUCUGAUAGCCUAACCAUACAGUCACAUUGACCUUACAUGCUUUCCGUGAUCAUGUUUUGUUGUGUGAGGUAUUGUGGAGGCAACUGAUACAAUUCUUGCAGGCAGGUAUAGAUGUUACCAUGCUGUCGUCCAUUGACUUCUUUGAGGGUAUUUACACUAGAAUUGCAACACACUUAUUUCUUGUGUUGGCAAUUUACUAUACUUGCUAAUUGGAUGCAUUCUUGGAAAAUUCAAAGGGUUGCAGUCUCAGAUGUUGCAAAUGAUUGCAAGAAGAUAAUCGCAGAUUGCUUCGAGUUUGUGAUGGGUUCGGUCCCAUUGUGUGUAAUCUUUUUAAGUCUAAG
Molecule: long non-coding RNA, 1550 nt
Filed under: Hordeum vulgare
Lineage: Eukaryota; Viridiplantae; Streptophyta; Magnoliopsida; Poales; Poaceae
Description: long non-coding RNA (HVUL_LNC003792)
Source: RNAcentral